Molecule: long non-coding RNA, 1708 nt
Organism: Gallus gallus (chicken)
Lineage: Eukaryota; Metazoa; Chordata; Aves; Galliformes; Phasianidae
Source: Ensembl
GGGUUUUGGGGUUGGUGCCUGCAAGAUGAGGAUUCUCUAGGGGGAAGAGGAGCUGCUCAGGGGCCUGGCUGGAGUUUGAUGUGAACGCUUUCUGCAGCUGUACAUGAUGUACUCGAGCAGUUUCCCAGCGCCGAGGCCAUGUCAGGAGGAACAGUGCCUUCUGGAGAUAUUUCAUCCCAACGUCUUCUGGAAAGUUCAUUUCUGCCUUGACGAAAUUCAGUUUUUAUUAAAAAUGAUUAAUGUCUAGAAAUUUAAUCAAUGCGUAUUCACACGGAGGCGGCCUUACUGUAAUAGUUUGAUUUUAAGCAGCUUGUGUCCUGAUGCGUGAGGUGUGUUAUGCUAUCUGACAGCGGCGACAUUUAUAUUUGUAAUUACCAAAUGGCGACAGCCCACUGGAAAGCCUGCCCUGCUGCAGGGAGCAGAAUGGAUGUAAAUGCACGGCACUGGGAAGCACAAAACUCACCGUAUAUCAGUGGAUCCCGAGAUUAAAAAGCAGGGGAUGACAUUCUCCUCCCAACGAAAGCACGCGUGUGUUCCGAGAUCAAUUGCUGACUUCUAUUUAUUUCUUUUGUACUUAUGAAAUAGUCUCUUCCUGCUCAUUGCCUGACCCUGCUGCUUCUAUUUCAUCACGUGGGAACAUCUUGAGAACAAAAUGCGGCACGCAGGGAUAUGAGCCUCUUAGGGCUUGAUUAUAGAAUGCUGAAAAAUUGGGUGAGUCAAGCUGGGAUAGAGAUCCCAAAUUUGAUAUAAAUCUUGAUAAAUUGGUCGGGGAGAAUAUUUGGAGCUGCUGUUUUUUCAAGUGCUGAGAUGUAGGGUAAAGUUAUCAGCUGGUGGAAGCUAUUUUGGAAGUGGCUUUAGACUAUUAACGCUGCGCAGAUAAAAUCCUUUCCCUGCAGGAAGAAGCUCAGUAUUUAGCCAGGUGCCUGGAAAACUGGGGCAGUAGGGAACGCAGAUAUCCCCUGGCCUGUUGGUAAUUAAUAGGGUUAUCUCCUAGUUAGGGAAGAGUUGUGGGAUGCGAUUUGCUACUGAGAUUGGGCAGACAUAGAAAGCACGCAGAGCUUUAGAUGAAAUUUGUAAUUUACAUAGCUUAUGUCGUUACGCUCGGAUGUCUUGUGAUGCUGGGUUUGGUUUGUCCUUGAGUCCCACCUCCUUUGCUCAUCUGUGAGGUAUCCUAGAGCACUUCCCAUUGCCAAACUGGAUAUCUGUCCCAUCUACAGAGCAACCAAUGGGAGAGAGAGACCUCAUUGGAUGUGCACAACAACUGGAAAACCCAUUCAGGACUGAUCCUAAAGAAGAUCCAAGUUCCUUCUAGUUGACCCUGUGACCCCUCUGAGGUGGUGUCCAGCCAUGGGGUUGAGCACCUGGCUUUGGUGCGUAACAGAUCUGACUCUGCCGAGCAGCAGCACUGCACACCCACCUUCAUGCUGUGCAAAUGGCUGCUCACGGCGUUUGGGCUUUUUGCUCAGCUCCAGUUGCUGAACAGGUCUCACUGAGAGCCCUCUGCCAUGAGCUGUAAAUAGCAACCUUGUGACUUCCUCCGGCGGGUGUUGCACCUGGCUAUGUCUGAUAGUCAUAAUAAACAUUUUCUCUUCUUGUGUAUUGGAUUUAUCCUUUGCAGACGGUAAUUUACCCUGAUUGCAGCUCAUCUUGUCUUCCCUGCCACAGUGUUCCUUAUGCUUUCUAAUUUUCUCAAGUGCACUGACAGCCC